RNAcentral lists this ribosomal RNA (459 nucleotides) under uncultured bacterium. RNAcentral describes it as "partial 16S ribosomal RNA". It matches the Rfam family "Bacterial small subunit ribosomal RNA", at positions 338 to 795 of the family's 1533-position model. The record is from RNAcentral.
CCUACGGGAGGCAGCAGUGAGGAAUAUUGGUCAAUGGCCGAGAGGCUGAACCAGCCAAGUCGCGUGAGGGAAGACGGCCCUACGGGUUGUAAACCUCUUUUGUCGGGGAGCAAAGCGAACCACGUGUGGUUCAUUGAGAGUACCCGCAGAAAAAGCAUCGGCUAAAUCCGUGCCAGCAGCCGCGGUAAUACGGAGGAUGCGAGCGUUAUCCGGAUUUAUUGGGUUUAAAGGGUGCGCAGGCGGAGGUGCAAGUCAGCGGUCAAAGUGCGGGGCUCAACCCCGUACUGCCGUUGAAACUGCAUCCCUUGAGUGCGCGAGAAGUAUGCGGAAUGCGUGGUGUAGCGGUGAAAUACAUAGAUAUCACGCAGAACUCCGAUUGCGAAGGCAGCUUACUAAACUGCCACUGACAUUGAUGCUCGAAAGUGUGGGUAUCAAACAGGAUUAGAUACCCGAGUAGUC